Molecule: long non-coding RNA, 362 nt
Organism: Pseudophryne corroboree (corroboree frog)
Lineage: Eukaryota; Metazoa; Chordata; Amphibia; Anura; Myobatrachidae
Exons: 3
Source: RefSeq, a predicted model, not a curated record
ACUUCCUGCUUCUCCAAUGAGGGGAAGCAGGUACAGGAGGCAAUAUCAGUGUUGGGAAGAAACCAGAUGGUCCUAAACAAGAUCAUGGAAUAAACAGUGUUAUUCUUUUGCAUCAUAUUUGUGUCCUUAUCUCUGCUGACCUGGGGGAAAACCUUGCCUCUCUGCUGGGGUGAGGUUCAGCAGGAAAUUAUUUCCAGAAGAGGACCAUUCUACUGUACAUCAAGACACUCUUGAGAAGCCCUAAACACCAUGGCUGUAUAAUACAGAUAUAUCUUAUGAAGAGCAUUUGUCUGGAUAAGAAAUAUAUCAGAAUUACCUGCUCAGUUACAUUUCUGAAUACAGAGAAGGAUCAAGCACUGCGU